This is a long non-coding RNA of Daphnia pulex (common water flea), 2826 nucleotides long. RefSeq lists it as uncharacterized. NCBI's taxonomy places the organism in Eukaryota, Metazoa, Arthropoda, Branchiopoda, Diplostraca, Daphniidae. The record is from RefSeq and is a predicted model, not a curated record. The transcript has 6 exons.
ACCGGAUUGGACACUCACUAGUACGCGAAGCUCAUCACAGUCACAGGUGGAUGAAAGUUGUGAAAAUUGAUCAGGUACAAAGGAAUUUGGUGUUUCUGUUUCGGUCUGAUGUAUUUGGAUGGUAAAAUAUGUUGUUGGUAAACCGUUAUGAGUGAUGUAGAGUAAUAUGUUCUCUGUGAAACGAUUGAAUAUUUUCAUAGCCAUUUUCAAAACGUGAAGUCAGAUGUACGGCAACUCAGUUGCAUAGAUGUCCUUUUUUGCCAAGCAAAAUGGUUUAUACCUAAAUCCUUGUGGCAUGAAAACAUGAUGUCAAUAUUUAUUUAAUUUGAUGUUAAAGAAUUUACAUUUCCACCAUGAUGCAACAACAUGACACUUUACAGAUCAUUGUCCGAUUUUUGUGACAAAUUGUCAUUUCUCAAUGAUUAGACAAAUUCCCUGUACAUCAAGUUAAAUCAAAGAAAUAAUGGAGCUCCAGGGAUUACAACUGUUGAUCUGUUUCAAAUAGCUUGGCUGAUAUGAUUUUUGUUCAAAUUCUUUCUAAUUCAGUUUUUAACAGAGCCAUGGAAACACCUUAUGUUGCCAAAUUUGAUAGAUCAUUGUAUUCUCGUUCCUAGUGUUGGCCAAUGACUAACUAGCAACCGAGUCAUUUGAACCUGAAAACAUUGCAGUUGGUUUAAGUUAUGCUGAAUCUCCAAGAUAUUGAAGAGCCCAUAAAAUCAAAUUCUUUGCUGCCACUUUUUUUUAGUGAAAAAUGAGAGAGAAUGCAGCCACUAAGAAGGUUGCCACUACUUGAGUUCUAAUUUAGGCUGAUAUAAGAUUGAUUGAUUAUAUCGGUAUUUCUUUCGGUUGCAACAAUCUGGUUUGACAUUAUUGUCAUCUAAUAAUUCUUUCAUCAGGUUAGUCCCUUGCUGCUGUUCCACAUCCAUAUUUUGGACUUGAUAUGUUUUGGAAAGUGACUUUUCCUUAAAAGUUUCCACAGGUUUUUUUUAACAGGCUGGUGAAGUCUUAGCUUCUUCAUUGCGUAGAGGUUGCGUGAGAACGGGACGUGUUUCAUCAUAAUCAAGUAAGUCAAUAGCCGCAAGUUGCAGAAGGAAAGGGUUGCAUGUCCAUCCUGCCCGAAGGUCACGGAGAUCAUUUCGUAAAACCUGUCAUGCAGUGGUGUAGAGGUUCAUGGGUGAGAACGGGCGUGUUUCACAUCAUCAUUAUUAAGCAGGUACAAUAGAUAGCCGCAAGGCUUAAGAGGUUAGGAUGCGAAAAAAAUCUUUCUCACUCGACUGAUUUCUACCUCCUUUUCUUUCUACUUUUAUAAUUCAUUUUAUUUAUAUUUUAUUUAUAAUAAUUAAUUUCUCUUUCCUUUUAUAAAAGGAGAGAGAAAAAAAGGUAGAAAUCAGUCGAUUGAGGAUCUCCGACACGGACACGUCAACAACUGCAGUGAAUUAUCUGUCACUAACUGCAUUCCUCAUCGUGUAACCAAAUCGCAAUCAUGGCAGGUACAAUUUCCGCACGGCUCGAGUUGAAAGGUGAAUCACGAAAAGGAAAAACUUAUUAAACGAGAGAAAUGUCGAUAAAACUCAAUCAAAUGAGCAUCUCCGACAUGGCAAAUUGGCAACUUCCAGUUCGCAAUUAUGGGCAAAUAUUCUUACUUUUUUUUAUUUAGUUAUGUAUCAAUCCCAUUUGUCUCUUUUAGUUAGUAUGCCAGUUAUUAUUGAUUAUUAAUGUGGAAACUAAUUUCUCGGUUAACCAUAGCGUCGUGCUGCUGUUGGGUGUUGUAUCGUUGAUGACUGGGUCGACCACUGGUGUACCGAUGUCUUCUCUUGGUAUGGCGGAUACCAAACUGCAACGCCGCCGCCUUACUACCCAAAAGCAACUCACGCUACGACCAGUUACUGCGCCGAGACCCUUAAGUACUACACCACUAAGGUACUGGUGUAUUAUACCACAACUUAACUGCCCCCAGCUACUACCCUGACGCCCCGAAGUAUUACUCUGCCCCCAGCUACACCAACAAGGUACCGGGGUACUACACGAAUACGUAUGCUGCCCUAACCUACUACACCGAGGCUCCCAACUACUACAACGAGGCUCCGGCUGAUUACUAAACCAAAACGGUAGCUAAAAGCCUAGCUACAACACCGAAGCUCCCAAGUACUACAUCAAAGAUAUCGCACAUUACACAAGUCAACCACGUCCGCCGCCCCAGUUUACUUCACCGAGGAAUCCAAGUAUUACUCUGCUCCAAGCUACUACCAAACUGAGGCUCAUAAGUACUACACCAGCAAGGUUCCUGAGUAUUACACCCCUACUUACGCUGCUACGACCUACACAUCGAAGUUCCAUAGUAUUCCUAUGCCCUGAGUUACUACACUACUAGAGCACCGACAAAUUACAACACAAUCUUUCUUCUUCGUAUGCUGUUCCGAAUUUCCGAUUGUUGCUGUCCAAUGAGGUUUGAUAUUGCAGCUAACAUUUAUGUGUAUCAAAUUUAAUUUUGACUGUUACUUGGUGCUGGUAUUGUGUUUUAAAAGUUGCAAUUUGUAUUUUGUUCAAUUGACUUUUUGUCUAUUUCGUUCGGACGUUAAGAUAUAAGAAGAAGAAAAACAAACACGAGGAAUUUUAUGACAAACAAAUAAUAAACAAAUUUUUGCAAUUAGGAAAGGAAGGAGGAGGAAAUUGGGGGAAGGGAAGGAAAAUCAUUUUCACAUUUCAAAUGAAAUUACAUUAAUUAAUUAUUCGUGACAUUUUCAUGUUGUUUACUAGUAAUAUAAUACGAUUAAUACGUAUGACAUAUAAAAUUGUUCCGUCAUAAUAAACUUUAUCUCUAAUUUA